CAUACUGUUUUCCAUACUUGCUACACCAAUUUCCCACCAACAGUGCACAAGGGUUCCCUUCUCUUCAGCUCCUCUGCCCAUUUCUUAAUUGGAUUGUUUGGUUUUUUUGCUAUUGAGUUGUAUGAGUUCUUUAUAUAUUUUGGAUAUUAACCCGUUAUCAGAUAUAUGAUUUGAAAAUAUUUUCUCUCAUUCUGCAGAUUGCCUUUUCAUUUUGUUGAUGGUUUCCUUGCUGUGCAGAAACAUUUUAGUUUGAUGUAGUCCCACUUGUUUAUUUUGCUUUUGUUGCCUUUGCUUUUGGUGUCAGAGCCAAAAAAUCAUCACCAAAACCAACGUCCAGAAGCUUACUGCGUAUUGUCAUCUAAUUCAAACCACAAAGUGGAGCAUCCAAGUGCAGCGGGCUGGAGCACAUCCAGAAGGCAAAGGAGUAAAUCCAGAUAAUUAAGGCGGGAUCAAAACUAAAACCAGGAACCUGAGAUCUGGAAGCCAGGAAAAAGAGGCUUUUUAGUAUCCAGACACUCAAGAUGCCGACAACAGAGUACUAAACAAGCAUGAAGCUUCUCUAAGUAUGCGACUGUGAGCGACUACAUAGGUCAUAAGCCCG
This 601-nucleotide long non-coding RNA is filed under the name Equus caballus (horse). RNAcentral's name for it is "lncRNA (ENSECAG00000050358.1)". Lineage: Eukaryota; Metazoa; Chordata; Mammalia; Perissodactyla; Equidae. The record is from RNAcentral.